AAAUUGAAGAGUUUGAUCAUGGCUCAGAUUGAACGCUGGCGGCAGGCCUAACACAUGCAAGUCGAACGGUAACAGAAAGCAGCUUGCUGCUUUGCUGACGAGUGGCGGACGGGUGAGUAAUGUCUGGGAAACUGCCCGAUGGAGGGGGAUAACUACUGGAAACGGUAGCUAAUACCGCAUAACGUCGCAAGACCAAAGAGGGGGACCUUAGGGCCUCUUGCCAUCGGAUGUGCCCAGAUGGGAUUAGCUAGUAGGUGGGGUAAAG
This 265-nucleotide ribosomal RNA is filed under the name Escherichia coli. RNAcentral describes it as "partial 16S ribosomal RNA". It matches the Rfam family "Bacterial small subunit ribosomal RNA", at positions 1 to 262 of the family's 1533-position model. The record is from RNAcentral. Lineage: Bacteria; Pseudomonadati; Pseudomonadota; Gammaproteobacteria; Enterobacterales; Enterobacteriaceae.